CAUCAGAUCGACCAUGUUGAUCU
This 23-nucleotide non-coding RNA is filed under the name Cricetulus griseus (Chinese hamster). The record is from RNAcentral. Lineage: Eukaryota; Metazoa; Chordata; Mammalia; Rodentia; Cricetidae.